RNAcentral lists this ribosomal RNA (81 nucleotides) under Acacia spirorbis subsp. solandri. Its description in RNAcentral is "partial 26S ribosomal RNA". The stretch from base 17 to 81 matches the Rfam family "Eukaryotic large subunit ribosomal RNA", at positions 1 to 65 of the family's 3401-position model. The record is from RNAcentral. Lineage: Eukaryota; Viridiplantae; Streptophyta; Magnoliopsida; Fabales; Fabaceae.
GCUGCCCGCUCGUACGCGACCCCAGGUCAGGCGGGGCUACCCGCUGAGUUUAAGCAUAUCAAUAAGCGGAGGAAAAGAAAC